Molecule: transfer RNA, 88 nt
Filed under: bacterium
Lineage: Bacteria
Also listed under: 3 other names
Description: tRNA-Leu
Rfam family: tRNA
About the family: Transfer RNA (tRNA) molecules are approximately 80 nucleotides in length. Their secondary structure includes four short double-helical elements and three loops (D, anti-codon, and T loops). Further hydrogen bonds mediate the characteristic L-shaped molecular structure. tRNAs have two regions of fundamental functional importance: the anti-codon, which is responsible for specific mRNA codon recognition, and the 3' end, to which the tRNAs corresponding amino acid is attached (by aminoacyl-tRNA synthetases). tRNAs cope with the degeneracy of the genetic code in two manners: having more than one tRNA (with a specific anti-codon) for a particular amino acid; and 'wobble' base-pairing, i.e. permitting non-standard base-pairing at the 3rd anti-codon position.
Source: RNAcentral
GCCGGGGUAGCCGAGCUGGCACAGGCGGCGCACUCAAAAUGCGUUGGGGCAACCCCCCGUGCGGGUUCGAAUCCCGCCCCCGGCACCA